GUACUGUGCUCUGUACAUGAAGGUUACAGAGAUUAGCAUGACCUCUGCAUAAGGAUGAUAUGCAAAUUCAUAAAGUGUUCCAUGUUUUU
Small nuclear RNA from Heterocephalus glaber (naked mole-rat), 89 nucleotides. The record is from Ensembl. Lineage: Eukaryota; Metazoa; Chordata; Mammalia; Rodentia; Bathyergidae.